GACGAACGCUGGCGGCGUGCCUAAUACAUGCAAGUCGAACGCUUCUUUCCUCCCGAGUGCUUGCACUCAAUUGGAAAGAGGAGUGGCGGACGGGUGAGUAACACGUGGGUAACCUACCCAUUAGCGUGGGCUAACACUUGGAAACAGGUGCUAAUACCGCAUAACAGUUUAUGCCACAUGACAUAAGAGUGAAAGACGCUUUCGAGUGUCGUUGAUGGAUGGACCCGCGGUGCAUUAGCUAGUCGGUGAGGUAACGGCUCACCAAGGCCACGAUGCAUAGCCGAGCUGAGAGGGUGAUCGGCCACACUGGGACUGAGACACGGCCCAGACUCCUACGGGAGGCAGCAGUAGGGAAUCUUCGGCAAUGGACGAAAGUCUGACGGAGCAACGCCGCGUGAGUGAAGAAGGUUUUCGGAUCGUAAAACUCUGUUGUUAGAGAAGAACAAGGACGUUAGUAACUGAACGUCGCCUGACGGUAUCUAACCAGAAAGCCACGGCUAACUACGUG
Molecule: ribosomal RNA, 508 nt
Filed under: uncultured bacterium
Lineage: Bacteria
Description: partial 16S ribosomal RNA
Rfam family: Bacterial small subunit ribosomal RNA
Source: RNAcentral